Molecule: ribosomal RNA, 2897 nt
Filed under: Leptographium procerum
Lineage: Eukaryota; Fungi; Ascomycota; Sordariomycetes; Ophiostomatales; Ophiostomataceae
Description: large subunit ribosomal RNA
Rfam family: Bacterial large subunit ribosomal RNA
Source: RNAcentral
AAACAAAAACUUUAUAGAAAUAUAAUCGAUACGUAAUAAAAAUUUAUACAUAAAUAUAUGUAAGUAUAUAAAGAGACUAUUAGGAAAUACUAGCUAUGUAUUAAAGAGAUUUAUAUUUAUCCCAUUAAUUAGGAUAAUAAACUCUAAGAGAAAUCAGAUAAUAAACGAAGCGAAUUGAAUUAUCUUAUUAGCUUCAGGAAAAGAAAUCAAAAGAGAUUCUAUGAUUAGCGUGAGCAAAAAUAGAUAAGUCUAAAUAAUAAGUAAAAUGACUUUAAAGUUGUUUGAAUAAAAUGGGGAACCUUCCUCAAAGACUAAAUAUAAUACAUAAGCGAUAGUGAAAUAGUACCGUGAGGGAAAAGUAAGUAGAAUUAGUAGUUUUAUAAGCAGCUCGAGCGAAAGCAAGAGCGUACCUUUUGCAUAAUGGGUCACCAAGUUAAUUUUAGAUGCGAGCUAAUUAAUAAGCGUAGUUAAACCGAUCAUGAAAAUAAUGAAUAGUAUCUAAAAUUAGACCCGAAGUACAGUGAUCUUACCAUAAUCAGGACUAUAAAGGUCCGAACGGGUUAUCGUUGCAAAGAUAUCCGAAGAAUUAUGGUAAGUAUAGUGAAAGACAAUCCGUGACUGUAUUAGCUGGUUUUCUGCGAAACCUAUAACAGUAGGCAGUUUAAGUUACAUCUUUACAGGUACAGAACUUAAUCUCAGACAAGGUGUAUAUUAAAAUACAUUUUAUUUUGUAUAGAUCGGGGGAUCAUAAAGAUUUUACCGGUGAGUUUGUGGACUCGAAAUGGUAAAGAUGAAUCUUAAAUUAUCGGACAUAGAAUGAUAAGGUUGUAUGUCAAAAGGGAAACAGCCCAGAACAAGAGUUAAGGUUCCGAAGUUAUUAUUAAGUGAAAUUAAGAAGGUUUUUAUCUAAGUCGACAAGGAGAUUGGCUUAGAAGCAGCCAUAAUUUAAAGACCUCGUAUCAGAGCACUUGUUAAAUGUUAAAAGCGUCGAAAAUUUAACGGAUCUAAAUAAUACACCGAUACCUUGUCUAUAAAUGAUUAUAAUUAUUUAUGGGGUAGCAGAACGUUGAGUUAAUCUUAGUGUUUUUUUUUAUAAAAAAAAUAAUAUUAUAACUCAAGUGAGAAUGGUGACAUGAGUAACGAAAAAGAAAAUUUUAUAAUUAUAAUUUUAUUAUGGUUAUAAAAUACUCGCCUAAAGCUUAUGGUUAUGAUAAGUAACGGCCUCUAAGUUUAUAACCUGAAGGUUAAAACGAUGAGAAAAUUCUUAUUACUAUUAAUGACAACAUUUUUAAGUGGAAAGUGUACAGGAAAUAAUUAGUAAUACUGUAUUAAAAAUACAAUAACCGUUCCUAGGAACUACAACAAGUAAGCUAGUAGAGAAUACGAAGGCGCAUGAGAUAACAAUCUUAAAGGAACUCGGCAAAUUGACUACCGUAACUUAGGGAUAAGGAGGGCUCAUUUCUCCUGAUUAAUAUCAGGUAAAAAGGAAGAAGCAUAAAAUAAUGUUGUACGACUGUUUAAUUAAAACAAAGCACUUUGCAGAAAGAUGAUAAAUCUAAGUAUUGAGUGUGAUGUCUGCCCGAUGCCGGCUGGUUAACGAAAUCUACUAAAUUCUAAAAAUUUGGUUUUUAAGGAACCCCCGGUCAAUGGCGGCCUUAACGUGAGGGUCCUAAGGUAGCGAAAUGCCUUGGCCGUUAAAUGCGGUCUUGCAUGAAUGAUAUAACGAUACAACAGCUGUCUCUAAGAUUGACUCAGUGAAAUUGGAAUAACUGUGCAGAUACAGUUUACCUCUAGGUAGACGAGAAGACCCUAUGCAGCUUUACUGUUACUAAUUAUUGGAUAUAAUCCAAACAAAUUUUAGUUUAGAAGGUUCAUUGAUUAGAUAAAAGUGAAAGACCUUUAUUUGUUUAUUAUAUUAUAAACCUUGAAUUAAAAAGGAACAGUUGUUAGAAGACAGUUUAUGUGGGGCACAGACCCCUUAAAGAGUAAAAGGGUGUAUCUAAAAUUAUAACUUAUAUUAUUAUAUAAGUUUAUUAUAUUUUUAUUGUUUGUAAUUAUUUUUAACUUUGUUAUAUUUAAUCAUAUAUUUUUGUGUAUAAAUAUAUACAUGUUAUUAGGUAAGAUUUCCCUAUUGAGAAAUUAGGAGUAUAAUAAUAUAUUGUAUUUAUAUAAUAUAUUCUAAUUAUUAUGGUUUUAACCAUUAAUAACCAUGUUUAAUACUUAUUAAGUUGAAUGGCUUAAUCUUGCUUUACUGUUUGAUUCACAACAAAUCUUACAGUCGCGUAAGCGGGGCAUUGGAUCACAAGAUACAACAAGGAAAGGUCUUGGAUUAUUGGAAAAGCUACGCUAGGGAUAACAGGCUAAUUUGCGCAAGAGUGUGCAAAAUGAGUGCGCGGUUUGGCACCUCGAUGUCGGCUUAACUUAUCCUCAUGGAUGCAGAAACUAUGUAGGGUACGACUGUUCGUCGAUUAAAAAGUUACAUGAGCUGGGUUAAGUACGUCGUGAGACAGUACGGUUUCUAUCUUCUAGAGGGAAUUAGAAUAUAAUAAGGAUUAACCUUGUACGAAAGGAACCUGGGCAACGCCUUAUUCCCAAAAGGAAUAACGGUUUUAUUAACCUCUGGUUUAUCUGUUGUUUAUGUGCCCAAUUAUUAAUUUAGGUAUAAUAGUAAUAUUAUACAGGGAUGUUACUUUCACUUAGGUAAAUGUAUAGCAUAGGCAUGGCAGAAAAGCUAAGUUAGUCAGAGAUAAGUGCUGAAAGCAUAUAAGCACGAAGCUCACCUUAAGAUAUUUCUUAAAUAUACGUAAAAUAAUAUUACGUAAUAGGCUUAGUUUGUAAUAAUCUAGAGAUUUUUAGAUACUAAGUACUAAUUUUAUAAAUAACUGAAUAUUUAUCGU